RNAcentral lists this ribosomal RNA (384 nucleotides) under Scytodes sp. 56 YFL-2022a. RNAcentral describes it as "partial large subunit ribosomal RNA". The stretch from base 137 to 384 matches the Rfam family "Archaeal large subunit ribosomal RNA", at positions 2162 to 2673 of the family's 2987-position model. Lineage: Eukaryota; Metazoa; Arthropoda; Arachnida; Araneae; Scytodidae. The record is from RNAcentral.
GUACUAAGGUAGCAUAAUCAUUAGUCUCUUAAUUAGAGAAUAGAAUGAAAGGAACAACUAAUUAUGACAUUUUCAUAAAUAUUAAUAAAUAAACUUACAUUCCAAUAAAAAGGUUGUAAUUAAUUAGAAAGACAACAAGACCCUAUUGAACUUUACACCUUUUGUUUUACUGGGAAAGUAUAAUAAUUAAAUCUUAUAUAAAUAUUCAUCUACCAAAUCGGAUUAACUCAAGCAUAGAAACAAGUUACCAUAGGGCUAACAGCAUUAUAUUUUUCAAGAGAUCUAAUCACAAAAAAUGUUUAUGACCUCGAUGUUGAAUUAAAAAACUUAACUAAGCAAACUUAGUUAAAGUGGGUCUGUUCGACCCUUGAUUAUUUACAUGAU